This 253-nucleotide ribosomal RNA is filed under the name uncultured bacterium. RNAcentral describes it as "partial 16S ribosomal RNA". It matches the Rfam family "Bacterial small subunit ribosomal RNA", at positions 524 to 776 of the family's 1533-position model. The record is from RNAcentral.
UACGUAGGGGGCAAGCGUUGUCCGGAUUUACUGGGCGUAAAGAGCGCGUAGGCGGAAGCUUAAGUGUGGCCUGAAAGCCCCCGGCUCAACCGGGGAAGGUGGCUGCAAACUGGGCUUCUUGAGGGCGAUAGAGGAGAGCGGAAUUCCUGGUGUAGCGGUGAAAUGCGUAGAUAUCAGGAGGAACACCGGUGGCGAAGGCGGCUCUCUGGGUCGGACCUGACGCUGAGGCGCGAAAGCGUGGGGAGCAAACAGG